AACGAACGCUGGCGGCAUGCCUAACACAUGCAAGUCGAACGAGACCUUCGGGCUUAGUGGCGCACGGGUGCGUAACGCGUGGGAACCUGCCCUUAGGUUCGGAAUAACUUCCCGAAUGGGGUGCUAAUACCGGCUAAUGUCCUCGGACCAAAGAUUUAUCGCCUUUGGAUGGGCUUGCGUUGGAUUAGCUAGUUGGUAGGGUAAAAGCGUACCAAGGCGACGAUCCAUAGCUGGUUUGAGAGGAUGAUCAGCCACACUGGGAAUGAGACACGGCCCAGACUCCUACGGGAGGCGGCAGUGGGGGAUAUUGGACAAUGGGCGAAAGCCUGAACCAGCAAUGCCGCGUAAGUGAUGAAGGCCUUAGGGUUGUAAAGCUCUUUUACCCGGGAUGAUAAUGACAGUACCGGGAGAAUAAGCACCGGCUAACUCCGUG
RNAcentral lists this ribosomal RNA (433 nucleotides) under uncultured bacterium. Its description in RNAcentral is "partial 16S ribosomal RNA". It matches the Rfam family "Bacterial small subunit ribosomal RNA", at positions 29 to 507 of the family's 1533-position model. The record is from RNAcentral.